RNAcentral lists this unclassified non-coding RNA (239 nucleotides) under uncultured fungus. RNAcentral's name for it is "partial contains small subunit ribosomal RNA, internal transcribed spacer 1, and 5.8S ribosomal RNA". The record is from RNAcentral. RNAcentral also lists the same sequence under 1 other name. Lineage: Eukaryota; Fungi.
UCUCCGUUGGUGAACCAGCGGAGGGAUCAUUACAGAGUUGCAAAACUCCCCAAACCAUCGUGAACCUUUACCGCUAAACAGUUGCUUCGGCGGGUGGCCAGGGGGCGCGCGCAAGCCCGCCCCCGGCCGCCGAGCCCGCCGGAGGAAUCCAAAAAAACCAUCGCUUUCAGUACCGGCCUCUCUGAGUUACUGUACUUUUAAUUAAGUCAAAACUUUCAACAACGGAUCUCUUGGUUCUG